AAUAGAUACCCGGGUAGUCCACGCCGUAAACGAUGAAUGCCAGCCGUUAGUGGGUUUACUCACUAGUGGCGCAGCUAACGCUUUAAGCAUUCCGCCUGGGGAGUACGGUCGCAAGAUUAAAACUCAAAGGAAUUGACGGGGGGCCCGCACAAGCGGUGGAGCAUGUGGUUUAAUUCGACGCAACGCGCAGAACCUUACCAGCCCUUGACAUGUCCAGGACCGGUCGCAGAGAUGUGACCCUCUCUUCGGAGCCUGGAACACAGGUGCUGCAUGGCUGUCGUCAGCUCGUGUCGUGAGAUGUUGGGUUAAGUCCCGCAACGAGCGCAACCCCCGUCCUUAGUUGCUACCAUUUAGUUGAGCACUCUAAGGAGACUGCCGGUGAUAAGCCGCGAGGAAGGUGGGGAUGACGUCAAGUCCUCAUGGCCCUUACGGGCUGGGCUACACACGUGCUACAAUGGCGGUGACAAUGGGAUGCUAAGGGGCGACCCUUCGCAAAUCUCAAAAACGCCGUCUCAGUUCGGAUUGGGCU
This 529-nucleotide ribosomal RNA is filed under the name uncultured bacterium. RNAcentral describes it as "bacterial SSU rRNA". It matches the Rfam family "Bacterial small subunit ribosomal RNA", at positions 777 to 1304 of the family's 1533-position model. The record is from RNAcentral.